RNAcentral lists this ribosomal RNA (253 nucleotides) under uncultured bacterium. RNAcentral describes it as "partial 16S ribosomal RNA". It matches the Rfam family "Bacterial small subunit ribosomal RNA", at positions 524 to 776 of the family's 1533-position model. The record is from RNAcentral.
UACGUAGGGUGCGAGCGUUGUCCGGAAUUAUUGGGCGUAAAGGGCUCGUAGGCGGUCUGUCACGUCGGGAGUGAAAACGCGAGGCUCAACCUCGCGCCUGCAGUGGGUACGGGCAGACUGGAGUGCGGUAGGGGAGAUUGGAAUUCCUGGUGUAGCGGUGGAAUGCGCAGAUAUCAGGAGGAACACCGAUGGCGAAGGCAGAUCUCUGGGCCGUAACUGACGCCGAGGAGCGAAAGCGUGGGGAGCGAACAGG